This 545-nucleotide ribosomal RNA is filed under the name Salmonella enterica. RNAcentral's name for it is "partial 23S ribosomal RNA". It matches the Rfam family "Bacterial large subunit ribosomal RNA", at positions 711 to 1252 of the family's 2925-position model. The record is from RNAcentral. Lineage: Bacteria; Pseudomonadati; Pseudomonadota; Gammaproteobacteria; Enterobacterales; Enterobacteriaceae.
AGACCCGAAACCCGGUGAUCUAGCCAUGGGCAGGUUGAAGGUUGGGUAACACUAACUGGAGGACCGAACCGACUAAUGUUGAAAAAUUAGCGGAUGACCUGUGGCUGGGGGUGAAAGGCCAAUCAAACCGGGAGAUAGCUGGUUCUCCCCGAAAGCUAUUUAGGUAGCGCCUCGUGAAUUCAUCUCCGGGGGUAGAGCACUGUUUCGGCUAGGGGGCCAUCCCGGCUUACCAACCCGAUGCAAACUGCGAAUACCGGAGAAUGUUAUCACGGGAGACACACGGCGGGUGCUAACGUCCGUCGUGAAGAGGGAAACAACCCAGACCGCCAGCUAAGGUCCCAAAGUCAUGGUUAAGUGGGAAACGAUGUGGGAAGGCCCAGACAGCCAGGAUGUUGGCUUAGAAGCAGCCAUCAUUUAAAGAAAGCGUAAUAGCUCACUGGUCGAGUCGGCCUGCGCGGAAGAUGUAACGGGGCUAAACCAUGCACCGAAGCUGCGGCAGCGACGCUGAUGCGUUGUUGGGUAGGGGAGCGUUCUGUAAGCCUGUG